AGAGUUUGAUCCUGGCUCAGAUUGAACGCUGGCGGUAGGCUUAACACAUGCAAGUCGUGCGAGAAAGUAUCUUCGGAUAUGAGUAGAGCGGCGGACGGGUGAGUAACGCGUAGGAAUCUACCUAGUAGAAGGGGAUAGCCCGGGGAAACCCGGAUUAAUACCGUAUACCUCCUUCGGGAGAAAGAAGGCCUCUCUUUGAAGCUUUCGCUAUUAGAUGAGCCUGCGUAAGAUUAGCUUGUUGGUGAGGUAAAGGCUCACCAAGGCGACGAUCUUUAGCUGGUCUGAGAGGACGAUCAGCCACAUUGGGACUGAGACACGGCCCAGACUCCUACGGGAGGCAGCAGUGGGGAAUAUUGGACAAUGGGCGCAAGCCUGAUCCAGCCAUACCGCGUGUGUGAAGAAGGCCUUCGGGUUGUAAAGCACUUUAAGCAGGGAGAAAAAGUUAUAAGUUAAUAUCUUAUAACCGUGAUGUUACCUGCAGAAUAAGCACCGGCUAAUUCCGUGCCAGCAGCCGCGGUAAUACGGAAGGUGCAAGCGUUAAUCGGAAUUACUGGGCGUAAAGCGCGCGUAGGUGGUUUGUUAAGUUGGAUGUGAAAGCCCUGGGCUCAACCUAGGAACUGCAUCCAAAACUAACUCACUAGAGUACGAUAGAGGGAGGUAGAAUUCAUAGUGUAGCGGUGGAAUGCGUAGAUAUUAUGAAGAAUACC
Molecule: ribosomal RNA, 707 nt
Filed under: uncultured bacterium
Lineage: Bacteria
Description: bacterial SSU rRNA
Rfam family: Bacterial small subunit ribosomal RNA
Source: RNAcentral